This 468-nucleotide ribosomal RNA is filed under the name uncultured bacterium. RNAcentral's name for it is "partial 16S ribosomal RNA". It matches the Rfam family "Bacterial small subunit ribosomal RNA", at positions 28 to 507 of the family's 1533-position model. The record is from RNAcentral.
GACGAACGCUGGCGGCGUGCUUAACACAUGCAAGUCGAACGGAAAGGCCCUGCUUUUGUGGGGUGCUCGAGUGGCGAACGGGUGAGUAACACGUGAGUAACCUGCCCUUGACUUUGGGAUAACUUCAGGAAACUGGGGCUAAUACCGGAUAGGAGCUCCUGCUGCAUGGUGGGGGUUGGAAAGUUUCGGCGGUUGGGGAUGGACUCGCGGCUUAUCAGCUUGUUGGUGGGGUAGUGGCUUACCAAGGCUUUGACGGGUAGCCGGCCUGAGAGGGUGACCGGCCACAUUGGGACUGAGAUACGGCCCAGACUCCAACGGGAGGCAGCAGUGGGAAAUAUUGCACAAUGGGAGGAAGCCUGAUGCAGAAACGCCGCGUGCGGGAUGACGGCCUUCGGGUUGUAAACCGCUUUCGCCUGUGACGAAGCGUGAGUGACGGUAAUGGGUAAAGAAGCACCGGCUAACUACGUG